RNAcentral lists this transfer RNA (77 nucleotides) under Neorhizobium sp. 2083. RNAcentral's name for it is "tRNA-Leu". It matches the Rfam family "tRNA". From Rfam's summary of the family: Transfer RNA (tRNA) molecules are approximately 80 nucleotides in length. Their secondary structure includes four short double-helical elements and three loops (D, anti-codon, and T loops). Lineage: Bacteria; Pseudomonadati; Pseudomonadota; Alphaproteobacteria; Hyphomicrobiales; Rhizobiaceae. The record is from RNAcentral.
GCGGAUAUAGCUCAGCCAGGAAGAGCGCCGGAUGCAGAAUCCGGAGGUCGCGGGUUCGAAUCCCGUUAUACGCCCCA